CUUCAACACACUAACAUGAAGGACCUUGUGGAUUUUACACCAUGAAGGGAGUUCAACUCUGUAUGCAACUCUUCCAAUCCUCUUCACAAUAGGUAAUGGUCCAAUGUAUUUUGGUGACAAUCUUGAGUCCUUCCCUCUUGUUGGUUUGUAAACAUUUCUGUCGGGAAGCUUAACCAUUACCAGAUCUCCAACAUUGAAUUCAAUAAAACGGCGCUUUAGAUCUGCAGCCUUUUUAUACCAUUUUUGAGCUUUUUCAAGAUAACUCCGAGCAAUUUCAAUAUUUCGUUUCCACUCUUGAGAAAAGCUCUUUGCUUGAGGGGACUUGGUACUUCGUUCGAUAUCCACUGUAUGAGGGAGUAGCGGUUGCUGGCCAGUAACAAUCUCAAAAGGACUCUUAUUGGUGGAAGAGCUCUUUUGGGCAUUGAAGCAAAUUUGGGCCGCAUCCAAAAGUUUUACCCAGUUUUU
This 465-nucleotide long non-coding RNA is filed under the name Olea europaea subsp. europaea. The record is from RNAcentral. Lineage: Eukaryota; Viridiplantae; Streptophyta; Magnoliopsida; Lamiales; Oleaceae.